GGCGCACGGGUGCGUAACGCGUAUGCAAUCUACCUUUUGCAGAGGGAUAGCCCAGAGAAAUUUGGAUUAAUACCUCAUAGUAUAGCAGUUUCGCAUGAAACCACUAUUAAAGUCACAACGGCAAAAGAUGAGCAUGCGUCCCAUUAGCUAGUUGGUAAGGUAACGGCUUACCAAGGCUACGAUGGGUAGGGGUCCUGAGAGGGAGAUCCCCCACACUGGUACUGAGACACGGACCAGACUCCUACGGGAGGCAGCAGUGAGGAAUAUUGGACAAUGGGCGCAAGCCUGAUCCAGCCAUGCCGCGUGCAGGAUGACGGUCCUAUGGAUUGUAAACUGCUUUUGUACAGGAAGAAACACUCCCUCGUGAGGGAGCUUGACGGUACUGUAAGAAUAAGGAUCGGCUAACUCCGUGCCAGCAGCCGCGGUAAUACGGAGGAUCCAAGCGUUAUCCGGAAUCAUUGGGUUUAAAGGGUCCGUAGGCGGUUUAGUAAGUCAGUGGUGAAAGCCCAUCGCUCAACGGUGGAACGGCCAUUGAUACUGCUAGACUUGAAUUAUUAGGAAGUAACUAGAAUAUGUAGUGUAGCGGUGAAAUGCUUAGAGAUUACAUGGAAUACCAAUUGCGAAGGCAGGUUACUACUAAUGGGAUGACGC
RNAcentral lists this ribosomal RNA (651 nucleotides) under uncultured bacterium. Its description in RNAcentral is "bacterial SSU rRNA". It matches the Rfam family "Bacterial small subunit ribosomal RNA", at positions 97 to 746 of the family's 1533-position model. The record is from RNAcentral.